RNAcentral lists this ribosomal RNA (477 nucleotides) under uncultured bacterium. RNAcentral describes it as "bacterial SSU rRNA". It matches the Rfam family "Bacterial small subunit ribosomal RNA", at positions 27 to 518 of the family's 1533-position model. The record is from RNAcentral.
GGACGAACGCUGGCGGCGUAGCCUAACACAUGCAAGUCGAGCGAGGAGAUCCUUCGGGAUGAGUCCUAGCGGCGGACGGGUGAGUAACACGUGGGCGAACCUGCCUCAUAGAGAGGAAUAGCCUUCCGAAAGGGAGAUUAAUACCUCAUAACAUUGCAGUUUCGCAUGGAACAGCAAUUAAAGGAGUAAUCCGCUAUGAGAUGGGCCCGCGGCGCAUUAGCUAGUUGGUGAGGUAACGGCUCACCAAGGCGACGAUGCGUAGCCGACCUGAGAGGGUGAUCGGCCACAUUGGGACUGAGACACGGCCCAGACUCCUACGGGAGGCAGCAGUGGGGAAUAUUGCACAAUGGGGGAAACCCUGAUGCCAGCAACGCCGCGUGAGUGAUGACGGCCUUCGGGUUGUAAAGCUCUGUCUUCAGGGACGAUAAUGACGGUACCUGAGGAGGAAGCCACGGCUAACUACGUGCCAGCCGCCGC